UGAGGAAUAUUGCACAAUGGGCGCAAGGCUGAUGCAGCAACGCCGCGUGCGGGACGAAGGCCUUCGGGUCGUAAACCGCUUUUCUGGGGAAAGAGCAAGGACGGUACCUCAGGAAUAAGUCUCGGCUAACUACGUGCCAGCAGCCGCGGUAAAACGUAGGAGGCGAGCGUUAUCCGGAUUUACUGGGCGUAAAGCGCACGCAGGCGGCUCUGUGAGUCGGACGUGAAAGCUCCCGGCUUAACCGGGAGAGGCCGUUCGAUACUGCGGGGCUUGAGGUGGGGAGAGGAAUGCGGAAUUCCCGGUGUAGUGGUGGAAUGCGUAGAUAUCGGGAGGAACACCUGUGGCGAAAGCGGCAUUCUGGCCCUCACCUGACACUGAGGUGCGAAAGCGUAGGUAGCAAACAG
This 404-nucleotide ribosomal RNA is filed under the name uncultured bacterium. Its description in RNAcentral is "bacterial SSU rRNA". It matches the Rfam family "Bacterial small subunit ribosomal RNA", at positions 355 to 775 of the family's 1533-position model. The record is from RNAcentral.